Molecule: transfer RNA, 87 nt
Filed under: Caudoviricetes sp.
Lineage: Duplodnaviria; Heunggongvirae; Uroviricota; Caudoviricetes
Description: tRNA-Gln
Rfam family: tRNA
About the family: Transfer RNA (tRNA) molecules are approximately 80 nucleotides in length. Their secondary structure includes four short double-helical elements and three loops (D, anti-codon, and T loops).
Source: RNAcentral
CGAGGAUUCGCCAAGUUGGUAAGGCAGCGGAAUUUGACUCCGCCAGCGCUGAACAAGCGGUCACAGGUUCGAGUCCUGUAUCCUCGG